UUUGCUUUUCUUAUCAACAAUCAAUAUAUAUAUUUAGUUUUCUAAGUGUUACAUUAAAUUAUUUUAAAUCUUUUGUUUUUUACAGAAAUAUCGUCAUCUUCUUCUCGAAAGGAAGAAGAUCACAUGGAAUGAUAACAAGACUCAUACAUUCCUUUAGAUUUUUGUAUCCGAGCAAGAAGAAGAGAACUGGAAAGAGGCUGUCCUUCCAAAAGAAGGAAAAGAUCGAUUAAUAGAUAAAUUUGUGCAAGCAACAAGAUAUAAACCGGUAUGAAAACUUUAAGAAUCAUUAUGAUAGUCUGAAAACAUGGUACACUACAUACAAAAGGUUAAGAAAAAAAACUGGAGUACAUGUUAAUCAGACUACCAAUGAAAUCGAGAUGGAUUUGGACUGGUGGGACGAUCGGUGCAAUUUAUAGGAAAUUCCCGGGGCUAGUCAUAUAAGAAACAAGCCACUUCAAGAUCUAGAUUUGCUGGAAAAAUAUUUUCAGAUACGUACAUUGGAACUGAAGAUGGAUGGGCAGUUGGAAAUGGUCCUGAUGGAUAUGUGCAAGCAGAAGAUCAUGUGAAUGAUACCCAAACUGAAAGAGAUGACCAAGAAUCAUUUUUUUCUGAAACUCAAAACACCGGGUAUAACACCCCCACAAACAAAAUACCACCAAGACGAAAACGCGAAAAGUCGGAAACUUCAAUGGCAUAUGGUAGACGAUCCUAAACUAUUAGAGUUGCAGGAGAAGCCAUGGGUUCAGAUAGAGAAA
Molecule: long non-coding RNA, 755 nt
Organism: Brassica oleracea var. oleracea
Lineage: Eukaryota; Viridiplantae; Streptophyta; Magnoliopsida; Brassicales; Brassicaceae
Exons: 3
Source: RefSeq, a predicted model, not a curated record